Long non-coding RNA from Pipistrellus kuhlii (Kuhl's pipistrelle), 1823 nucleotides. RefSeq lists it as uncharacterized. The record is from RefSeq and is a predicted model, not a curated record. NCBI's taxonomy places the organism in Eukaryota, Metazoa, Chordata, Mammalia, Chiroptera, Vespertilionidae. The transcript is spliced from 3 exons.
CCCCGCCCCCGCCCGCGCCGGGCCGCCCGCGCGGGAGGAGCGGCUGGUGAGCGGCGGUUUGGGACCCAACCGCCAGGGACCCCGCGUUCCUAACGGGCGAGACCGCACCGGCACCGCGUCCUGCGCAGCUCACGCCUCCCCGGCUUCAUCUCUACCUCUUCCCGCCUGCGACAGCAUGUACUACACCUCGAGCAAGGUGAGGAAUUCCAACACCUACUAAACGAAUCGAGAAACGCCCUCCUGCCCUGGAUUUUAACCAAUGAGAAUGAAUGGCUCCUGUUCCCUCCGCAGAGAUGGUUCACUUAAGUAACACAGAAAUUUACCUAAAUGGCCCACUCCUGGUCACCGGAGAAGUCCUCUGAGUCAUCUGCUGAUGGAUAUUCAAAGUGGAAAAAUGCCUGGCAGCCUCACUGCAGAUCCAAAUUCAUAGCAUCCUCUGGCAAGUCCCACUGGAGGGACAAAUCACCCUCUUUAGACUCCUACCUGCUCACCUUCCCUCAGCUUCACCACGCCCCCGCAUACCAGGAACCAGACUUCUUUCCCAUCGUAUCCUCGCUAAAAGCUGAGUGAGGACAGAACAUGGCUUUUUCUGGAUGUUUUUAUUAAUCGCUCUUUGACUUAUUAGUUGGCCAUAUCUUCUUUAGUUCCCCCAAACUCUUCUAUGAAUCCAGUCAACAAAUAUUUAUGAAACAUUACUCUGUUGCCACUCCCUGUGCUACACACAGGGGACACUACAGUCACGCCCUCCUUCAUGGGCAGGACAGAAGUAAACAAGAACCAGCCCCACUGUGGUCAGUGCUAUGAAGAUGGCAAACAUGGGGGGAGGGGGGGAGGUUCAUGGGAAUGGACGGAGCAGGAACGCCCUCGUGUUGAUGUAUGGGCCUGGGAGUAAGUUCUGUACGGGAUGGUGACAGGGACCCUGACAGCUGUGCCGGAGGACUUUUAGGUACAGAAUGAGCACUUCCAUGGACCACACCUGUGUCUACAGGAUGUCCAAGCAUUUUUAAAAAAUGAUGACCCUCAACCCCAGUGAAAGAAGAACCCUGGAAUAUAUACUGAAGGGCCCCUGGCUCAGUCGGAGGAACUCCGGCCUAAAGCGAGCCACUCGGGGGCCACACGGGCCCCCAAGUCACAGAGAUAAUGAAGAACCUGGGAUUUGAGUGGGACGAGAUACAGGAAUCAGAAACAGAAAGAAAGUACAACACAUUCCUGAUCUUAACAAGUUCCACGGAAUACAAGGGGAAGGGCCACGCUAUCAGGGUAAGGCGCACUCUCCUAACCCAACAGCUGCCAUCCUUCCCCCGCCUCAGAGGUUCUGCCGUCAGAGAAGACCAAAGAGCCUGCCAUCCACCUGCCCGGCCUGGAGUCAGGGCCGGCCACCCCUGACCCAGCGUCCAGCGUGGCCUUCCACCCACAGCAGCGGCAAUGGUGAGUGGUGGCACUCAGAGAGAACCAACAGCAGAAACUCCUUCCGUGCUGAGCAGCCUGACGGUGGACCCUCGUUCUCCCUCCGGCCAGGCAGGCCCAGCAGGGGCGGCUAGAAUCCUAUUAAGACUCAAGCCCUGUAGGCCAUCCGCUAACAAGCAGCACAUCUAAAGGGCCAGCCAAGCCAAUGUAAUUUUUAAAAUUGUGGAUGGCCGAGGCAGGGCCACAGUCAACCACUGUGAGGGAAGUCGAGCUACACUCCCUGCAUUUUAAAUGCUGAACUUCAAGGUGCUGAGCUUCAUUUCGGGGCGGUCAACCAGAGGCCGGAUGCAAACAGCUGCAGGUCGGAGGAAUGCACGCCGCGUGUGCAAAAACCUGCGAGCGAGAGGGUUCAUGUC